This 1038-nucleotide long non-coding RNA is filed under the name Amazona collaria (yellow-billed parrot). RNAcentral's name for it is "lncRNA (ENSACOG00000003449.1)". The record is from RNAcentral. Lineage: Eukaryota; Metazoa; Chordata; Aves; Psittaciformes; Psittacidae.
GGUUGGCACAGAUGCUGCUCGGAGCUGGGGGCAAUGCCCAGGACAAACAAUGCCUGAGCAGACCUCAGACAUGCUGUCUCUGGUGAGCUUGUGACAUGCAUGGUACCCUGAGCUCCCCAGCACCGCUCAGGGUGAUGGAGGCAGCUUCUCCACAGCCUCAGGUAUUUUUCACCAAUGCCAAAUCUAUCAGCAAGUGGCCAAACCAACCGGAACUGCCCCCAGGACAUAAAAUCACUGUAUGGAGAAUCAAGGCAGUUUUUGGACAGGGGGAAAGAGAUACUUCAAAGGAGGUUGCUUGAACUCCUCUCCAAAAGCAACAUGUGCAUUUUAGCCAGAGCUGGGAUGAAUGUCGGAGCUAGAGGCAGUUACUGGAGCUAAAAUAAAAGGGUGGUAUGUAAAAGGAUUAGGAAAAGAACUGUAAACGUGAGGACAGACAGACCAUUUCAGCAUAUAUUGAUAACACUGUGCGUUGCUUUCAUUCCAGGACCAGAAAGGGGUUUAUUAUCCUGCCUAACAAAGGCUCUGAGCACUUGAGGAAGUAAUUACCAAUACUCUUUGGGAGCUGUUGCUUUGCCAGGAGAGAGUGUGCAGAGUGCCUGAAUAGGCACUUGUCCCCAGUGUCCUCCGUCACCAGUGCACACCAAGUGCCAGAGGGGUAAGUGAGAGCAAAGUAGCACCCUGGAGCUCCCCGUCCACGACAGCUUUGCACCUCUGCAGCCCGUGGCUGCCACAGCAGCUCCCAUGCAACAGAGCAUCCUGUCUACUGCCACAGAAACACACAGCAGCAAGCAAGGUCUAUCUGUUGACAUUGGCUCUCCUGAGCAGAGCGUUGGGCCACGCCAGGAAGCUGAGUGUACGACUCUCCUUGUGUUUCCCACCUUCCCAGGGGUUAUCGCCUGUGAAAUCUCACACACACCCAUGGCAGAAAAGGUUUCUGAUGCAGAGGCAGGUGAAAGGUGCCCGCUGGUCCCACGGUGGUGAGUUUGGGUGCCCCAUGCUUGGUGGCAGGAGCUGAGCCACCUUCAGUUCCAGAGGGGU